ACAGAGCCUGACGCGGGGCUCGAACCCACAAACUGUGAGAUCAUGACCUGAGCCGAAGUUGGAUGCUUAACCAACUGAGCCACCCAGGUACCCCAUAAUAAUAAUAUUUUAAACUUAAUAACACCUUGCAGAUUUAAACAAUGGGGAAAAAGCAUUUUCUAUUUCUUUGAAUCAUUUAUUCAAACAUUGACCUUAAAUUUGGACUUCAGUCACAUAGGAUCAGAAAACAUAUCAAGAAACUUACACAUCUACCUUUGUUAAAAAGUGGGCAAAAAAAGUCCUCCUUCAUAACCCUGACACAAGUCUAGAGGGUUGUGUGACAAUGGGAUCUACUUAACCUCGUGUCACCCGUGAUAUUAUGAGUAAGAGGAAUGUGGACAGUAAUGGAAAGUUUGACAGAUUUUAAAGUCUUGGUUUUAACCAGAUGGGCACUUAGACUUUAGGGACUUUGGGGACCACACUUGUAAGUGACCUGCUCCCUGGGAGCCAUGAUGUUGGGCAGAGGGUGGAACCAAGUCCUUCAGGCGACAUUGUGGAUGACUGCCCCACACUGGGUGAGGGAAGAGGGGGUCCCAGGGGCUCUGUCAGGCAUUAUUGGGAGGGAAAUACAUCAGCAUGGCCUUACAGCCUCUCUAGGGGACAUCCACAUCUGUUUUUCCUGGUAUAUUGCUUUUGUAUAUUAUGAGUAAAUAAAUGUGGGGAAAGUACAUGGGCUCAGAGAAGAGAAUCUCCAUAUAUUUUAUAAGGUGUUAAUAUUGGCAUCUCUUAACCAUUCUCAUUUUACAAUCUUUAUCAAGCUAUCUUGCAAUUGUGCAGUCAUAGAACAUGUGGCUGAAGAGUCUAUGAAGAAAUUAAAACAUAUUUAAUAAGCAUUUCUGAUGUGCUAAGCUAUGUUAAGUACUUUAUAUGCACUAUGUUAGUAAUCCUAUGGAGGUAUUUUCUUCUUUAUAAAAAAGGAAAUUCAUGCCCCCAAAAGUCAAACGUGAUUAAGAUCAUCAGCUGGUACACAGAGUGAAUAACACUGAAAUCCUGAAGACUGAUAGCACAGAAUUAGACUCUUCCAAAAUCUAAUGAAAUGUAACAGCAAAAAGCCACAGUCUAAAAGAAAAAAGGGCAAGUUACUCUUUGUGUCAGCAUUUGAUUAAAAAGAAAAAAACCACAACACUUGUUUUCAGAAUCAUUUACAAUAACCAAGAUAAGGAAGAGUCCACUGAUUGAUGAAUGGGUGUCCAACUAGCUGGCUGUCCAUUGGGAACACUCCAAAUCAUGCCCUUCUUUGGACCUUCAACGUUGAAGUCUUUGGAUGGACAGGACGUAAUCAGAUUUGUAUUUUGGAAAGAUGGCAUUAGUGGCAGUUUGAGUAACGAGUCUGGGACCAGCACAGAAGCUGGGGAUCUACUACUGAAAUAACCCAGGUAAUGGGUCCUGUGAGCCUGAACUGGAAGAGAGGGAGUGGGAAUAAAGGACUGGGGACAGAUCUGAAAGAUAUUCAGGAGAUAGUAUGAGUAGGUCAGUAUGACCCGUGAAAAAGAUUUUAUUUCUGCUUCGAAAAAGACAGUCUCUGGUUUGGACUUUUACCCUGUAAGUGGCUAUUCCUAAGUUAUAAGGAAACAUAAUUCCUAGUAUUGUUGUUGUUGUUGUUGUUUUUUAAGGUUUUCAUUAUGAAUAAGUCCUGGGUUUUAUGAAAUGCUUUUUCAAUACAUACUAAAACCAUCAUAUGGUGUCUUACUCAGGCUACUAAAGUAUUAUAUUCAUAGAGUUCCUUAGGUUGAAUUGUUAAAUUUCUGGGCUAAGUUUUACUUGGUUAUGAUACUUCAUUCUUCUAAGGAAGUAUUGAUUUUUUCUUGUAACAAGGGCAAAUAUUUUAUUUAUCUUAACAGCUGCUACCAUACUUUUUCUUACAUAGGAUCUUACUCUAGAAAAGUCCUUUGAAAAAGCCUUUUGAGGUGACUCUGAUAACAAUGUGGUCAGCAAGGGACCACAAGAUCAGUCAAGAAAUACGAUUGAGCAUCUACUGUGGCCCUGUUCUAAGUCUCUAGGGGAUUGAGUCAUGAGCAAGACAGAUGAAACCCCCUGAUUCUGUAGAGCUUACAUUCCAAUUAGAGAUAAAGAAAUUAAACAGGUAACAAAUAACUAAGGUAAUCAUUAAAGUUCGUGAAAAAAGGAAAGGGUGUUGAUUUUGAUAAUAUGGCCACAGAAAUCCUCUCCAGGGAAGUAACAUGAGGGAAAGGCAAAAGAGGAGAUGGCUCAAUUCCUCUGUUUGAGACAAUGGGAUAAAUCCAUUUUUGGCAUCAGAGAAAGAGAGGGUAGAGGGGAAAGACACAGGAGGGGGAAAGGAUGGGGAGAAAAUACUCAGCAAGUUCGUAAAGAAUCACGUGAGGUAGUGCAGCCACAGAAUUUCUUCCAAUUUCCAGUUAAUUUUGACAGCCAACUAAGUGUAAUAUCUCGUUGUAAUGAAUAUAGAUAAAUGCCAAAGAAGAGAGUGACACAAUGACAGAGUGAAUCUGAGUCUUGAGACUUUUUUGGUAGUUUUUUUUAAAGAGCACCUUGGGUUUUUAAUGACUUAAAAUUGAUAUAAAAAUAAGAGUCUCUUGAAAAUCUAACAGAAAAUCAAUUGAAUAAAAGAAUUAUAAUACUUUCAAUCCUAUCUGAAUUUGCAGGCAAAACAAUUAUGGAGAAUCUGAAUCACUCGAGACCAAUUUUUUUUUUCACCAGAUAUUUAAACGUUGGAGUGUAUCAUUGAAAUAAUAAGAAUAGUAAUCCUACUACUUAAAGUAAAUAGGCUUUAUCUUACUAUGAUUAAUCUUGUUUAAAAUAUUUUGUAGAACGAAUUUUAAUACUAUUCCCCCAAAACUGCUUUAUUAAUUGAGGAUGAGAAAAGAUUCAUAAGAUCGGUAUGUCAAUUUACAUUUUUGAUUUUAUUUAGUAUGUAUCAUAGGAUAUGAUGGUCACAGAGAUUAGGUGGUAACUGCCUUGAAGAGUAUGGUUAAAUGGACUCAUGAUUGGUGUUAAGAUUGCUGUUCUCUAGGUUUCUCCAGUUAUGACUUAGAAGUGCCCGGCUGCCUCCAUAUACAGCAAAGUUAAUGGGUGGUCAUGCCAAGCCUACAUCAGUUAGUAUGCUGAAAUGUGCAAAGAGAUGACUGAGGAAGCUGGAUCCAGGGUACUGAAGGAGGUUUUGUAACAUUGCUCAUGUCUCUCCCUCCCUCUGAAUGCCAUUCCUUCCUUACCUUAUAUGCUGUGCUUCUCUUCUAAGCGUCAGUGGAAUCUCCCCUGACCCCACAUUUGUGCCUCGCACACGUAUUGUCUCAAUCCAGGACUCACAACUGCACUCAUAGUUAUUCUCAAACUAUGCGUUCCUUUUCAUACUUUACUUCUCCAGCAUCUCAGACUGUUCCUUCCUCGUUAAUGUUUGUGGAAGGAAAGAGUGAGUGAAUAAUGCAGUGAAUCCAACUAAAUAAACCAGGGUCGGAUAAAUUAUAAGAGUAAGCACAUACCUCGGGGAUUGUAUAGUAGGUGCUCAGAGUGCAAAAAAUAGAAAGGGAUUUUUUAAGCUGCUUUCGUGUCCUUCAAGGCAGUUCCAAGGAUGACGACCACCCCUGUGAAGGGCACCAGUGCGCAAAGAAACUCCACUGUCUCAAAUAGUAGGACUUGUGUGUAUUUUAAGCAACAGGUUUGUAGGUGAACUAGAUGUGGACUCCAAGGGAUCGAGAGAUGACGACUAAACAUCUAGGAAGAGGGAGGAAUUUGGCUGUAUGGAUCUCAGAAUGAGGUUCUGGUGUGAAGACAAUUUGGAAGUCUUUUAAAAGUCUAGGUGAUGUCAGCCAUGGACUGAAUGAGCUUAGUCAGGGAGAGAGAGCAGAAGAGGGCAGCAAGGGCCUAGGUUCUGACACACUUCAACAUCUAGAAGAGAAGCCGCUAGCAAAGGUGACAGAGGAUUGGCUACAAAGAGGCAAACAGGGAAAAUUGUAUUGCCAACACCUAGAGGAUGGUGGAAAGAGGUAUGUACAGUAUGAGUGAGAAUCAGACAAAAUAAAGAUGUUUCAAAGAGGGUUCAGGUUGGAUUGAGAACAAUGUAGUCAUGGAUUCCACGUUACUACACUUUUUUAAUUUUUAUUUUUUUAAAGAGAGGGAGUAUGCAAGCAGGGUAGAGGGGCAGGAGGAGAAAGAGAGAGAAUCCUAAGCAGGUUCCACACUGAGCAUAGAGCCCAACGUGAGACUCAAUCCCACAACCCUGAGAUCAUGACCUGAACUGAAAUCAAAGACUUGGACCCUCAACCAACUGAGCCACCCCAUAUUACUACACUUUUAACAGGUUAAACGGUAAACGGGUUAAAAUAAAAUAUCUUGCAUUUAAUGCAAAUAUUUGUUUCAUCAUUCACUUAUUUCAUCAUAUGCUAUGAUUCUAAAAGAGUAAAAAUUAAGUAUUUCAGGAAUUAUAGUUCCCAUCAUUAAUUUUAUACAAGGUAAAAUCAGGAAAGAAAACACUCAUCAAAUGCUUACUACAUGUGCCUUGUGUUGUUUUACAUGUUGUUCAAUUUCAUUAACAACUACGUGACUUAGGUUGAUGGUUUUUAUUUUGCAUGUUGGCUCCAGUGGAUUGAACUGGUAACGUAACCUUAAAGCUUUGUAUUGAUAAAAGUUCGGAAGCUACGUCUGGAUUCAGCUAGAAGGGGGGCCGUGAUCAAUUUUCAAGGUUGGCCAUGGCCAAGGGAGGAGGAGGAAAUGACAGAUGUAUCUCUAACUUAUGUUUAUUUUCAUUUUACAAACGAAACUAAAGCCCAGAAUCCCAUAAGGAAUAGAGAAAAUUGUCAUACUGAUCUCCAAACCUCAUAGCUUAGUUUAUUCUUUCUUUUAUCUGCAAACAUUUACAAAUAAAUGGGGCCUAGAAAUAUUAUUGAUAUACAUUAAUUUCGCCAUUAUUAAAAUGAUAAUGUAGAUUAUAUUUAUUGACAAAGACAAGGACAUUCAAAAUACAUUGUUAGGUGAAAAAGGAUUUUAAAAACCAUUAUGUAUAGUGUAGUCCUACAUUGAAAAAGUGUGUGUGAUGUGCCCACACAUAGAAACAAAUAUAUGUAUAUAUAUAAUUUUUUGCAUGGGGCAAUACAUGGAAGAAUAUACUUUAAAAUAAUAACAGUGUUGGGGCGCCUGAGUGGCUCAGUCGGUUAAGUGUCCGCCUUUGGCU
Felis catus (domestic cat) is the source of this 5182-nucleotide long non-coding RNA. RefSeq lists it as uncharacterized. The record is from RefSeq and is a predicted model, not a curated record. Lineage: Eukaryota; Metazoa; Chordata; Mammalia; Carnivora; Felidae. The transcript has 4 exons.